UACGGAGGGGGCGAGCGUUAUUCGGAAUUAUUGGGCGUAAAGGGCUCGUAGGCGGCCAACUAAGUCAGACGUGAAAUCCCUCGGCUUAACCGGGGAACUGCGUCUGAUACUGGAUGGCUUGAGUUCGGGAGAGGGAUGCGGAAUUCCAGGUGUAGCGGUGAAAUGCGUAGAUAUCUGGAGGAACACCGGUGGCGAAGGCGGCAUCCUGGACCGAUACUGACGCUGAGGAGCGAAAGCCAGGGGAGCAAACGGG
RNAcentral lists this ribosomal RNA (253 nucleotides) under uncultured bacterium. RNAcentral's name for it is "partial 16S ribosomal RNA". It matches the Rfam family "Bacterial small subunit ribosomal RNA", at positions 524 to 776 of the family's 1533-position model. The record is from RNAcentral.